This 441-nucleotide ribosomal RNA is filed under the name uncultured bacterium. RNAcentral's name for it is "bacterial SSU rRNA". It matches the Rfam family "Bacterial small subunit ribosomal RNA", at positions 959 to 1398 of the family's 1533-position model. The record is from RNAcentral.
ACGCGAAGAACCUUACCAGCUCUUGACAUGGGUAGGACCGGUGCAGAGAUGCACUUUUCCCGCAAGGGACCUACCGCACAGGUGCUGCAUGGCUGUCGUCAGCUCGUGUCGUGAGAUGUUGGGUUAAGUCCCGCAACGAGCGCAACUCUCGCCUUUAGUUGCCAGCAUGUUUGGGUGGGCACUCUAAAGGAACUGCCGGUGACAAGCCGGAGGAAGGUGGGGAUGACGUCAAGUCCUCAUGGCCCUUAUGGGCUGGGCUACACACGUGCUACAAUGGCGGUGACAACGGGAUGCCAGGCAGCGAUGCCGAGCCGAUCCCAAAAAGCCGUCUCAGUUCAGAUUGCAGCCUGCAACUCGGCUGCAUGAAGGUGGAAUCGCUAGUAAUCGCGGAUCAGCACGCCGCGGUGAAUACGUUCCCGGGCCUUGUACACACCGAAGGGC